UCAUAACUUGGUCGUUUUAAGCCGGAAUUAGCUCAUUUUUGGACACGAGCUACAUAUUACCAUAUAUUUAUAUUUCCCAAAAGCCUGUAAUUUUUCUCAUUAACUAAAUGUCCAAAACAGCCCUCGGAAAAUUUUGGCCAGAAACUUUUUGUCGUUUGGCAGAUUUGGAGUCCUUUACCAAAACGUAAAUAAAAUGAAAUCUAUAACUCCGAUUAAUGAUCCGUCAAUUUUUUUGGAUUCGUAUCUUUCCGAACUACAGAUUUCAUAUAUCACAAUCCAUAUUUGGAUAUGUUUAGCUCCCGGAAUUUAUCCCGGAAGUGACUGUUCCAAAACUGUCCUUUUCACAGUUUUCUUAACUUUGUGUAGUUUGGGAGAAAUCCCAUAACUCCCUCCUCCGAUGUCGGAUUUAGUCCGUUUUGGAGUCUAUGGAAAGCUUAUUGAGUGUACUAUAACAUAUCACAAGUCCAGAAUUUUUAGAGCACUCUAACAAAUCCGAAAAUUUCUGUUUAGGGCAGCAGUCCAUUAAUUCAUUUAAAACAAAAAAAACUGUUUUGGCUAUUCUUCUUUGUUCAAGCCUAUCAACCCUAAAAAUGGCAAGAUCUAACCAUAAAAUAUCAAUUAUCAUGUAGAUCUAUAGUUCUCAUGUUCAAGAUCUUAAACUUAUGGUUCAAAAUCAUAAGUUCAACACUUG
RNAcentral lists this long non-coding RNA (691 nucleotides) under Panax ginseng (ginseng). RNAcentral describes it as "long non-coding RNA (PGIN_LNC015831)". Lineage: Eukaryota; Viridiplantae; Streptophyta; Magnoliopsida; Apiales; Araliaceae. The record is from RNAcentral.